Molecule: long non-coding RNA, 226 nt
Filed under: Elaeis guineensis (African oil palm)
Lineage: Eukaryota; Viridiplantae; Streptophyta; Magnoliopsida; Arecales; Arecaceae
Description: long non-coding RNA (EGUI_LNC035490)
Source: RNAcentral
UUGUAGAGUUGGAGAGAUAAAUCAGAGUAAAGUUGAAGAGAGUAGAACGGAGUAACUGAAGAGCUGCCUCUUGAACUCCGACCUCCAAAACGGAGAUGCUUCCUCUUCUUGUAUAACUCUUGAAUUGCUAAACUAUAUAUAUUGCUACCUAUUAAAUAUUGAUUGGAAGAGAGAAGAAUUGCUAAAAGAGAGAAUAAAUAGGAGUAAAGAGAUUAGAGAGGGAGAG